ACAUAUAUAUAUAUAUAUAUAUAUAUAUAUAGAGAGAGAGAGAGAGAGAGAGAGAGAGAGAGAGAGAGAGAGAGAGAGAGAGAGAGAGUUGAGCUAAAAUGAUUAUUAUAGCCAAACAGGUUUCGUUGCCAUCUAUUUAUUUUCGAUAAUGUAGCCUCCAAAUCGACGAUCGGCACCAUUGAACAUGAUCUAAACCGCUUGAAGUGUUUAUAAAUCAAAUUUCAAAUAUUUUCGACAUCAUUUGCCUAAUAAUUAAAAGGUUUCAAAAUUUGUAAUUUUAACAGUCGAUAUGAGGUGUUUUCUCGUUUAACGGCGUAAAAAUAUCCAAAUCAAUUGAAUUUUUGUUAGAAAAUUCUUUAAACUAUUAAAACAAGAUCUAUACUCUUGAUCUGGAUUACAAGACUCCUAUCAUCAUUUUUUAAAGAAUAUUCAUUUUCAGCCGUUCAUUUUUGUGUCCACUCGAUGGACAAGAGAACAACAUCGAAAGUGUAUGAAAUUUAAUUUAUAAACACUUCAAGUGGUAUAGAUCAUGUUUAACGAUGUCAAUCAUCGAUUUAGAGGCUCCAUCAUAAAAAAUAAAUGGGUGACAACGGAGCUCGUUUGCUAUCGAUAGUAUUCUAGCUCAACUAUAUAUAUAUAUAUAUAUAUAUAUAUAUAUUAUAGAUUAUAGUAUGAUUUUUUAAUUUCUUAUUAAGUAGGAGAUUUAUCACUUUUGUUUGUUAAGUCUAUGUUACUUUUCAGAUGACAAGUUUAAUAAUGUUUUAGCUUAUUAGGGGGUAAAACAGAAUUUUAUGAAUAAUCUAUUCAAUUUACGUNCAUAAGUUUUUAACUGUUAUAUAUACCCUUUUAAUCAUUUCCAUAUGUUAGACCAUAUUAUUCGACCAAUCAUCCACUCAACUCUAGCGGACUACUAUCAUUCUAAUCGGGAUCACUAUCACACUAACCGCAUAUUCUUUCAUUCAACAGUCAAAAUUUAUAAGUACAAAAAACUCUACAUUCAUAAAUGUAUAGUAACGAAGUCAUAUAUAUAUAUAUAUAUAUAUAUAUAUAUAGAGAGAGAGAGAGAGAGAGAGAGUCCGGCUGCUAUGUUAUCGAUAGCACCAAGUACUUGGUGCUAUCAAAUUUUCUGCCGUUAGAUUAACCCCUUUGAUUGUUUUUAUUCAUUACAUUAUACUAUUCAACCAACCACCCACCCAACCCUAAAGAGCCCACAUUAUCCUAACCGAACAUUUCUUAAUCUAAGAGCUAAGAAACUAAUAGCACCAAUAACUUGGUGCUAUUGAUAGUAUUCCAACCUAGUUCUCUCUCUAUAGAUAUAUAUAUAGUACAUUUUAUUUUUGUCGAGUUUAUGGAACUGUAUUUUUUUUGCCAAAUC
This 1375-nucleotide long non-coding RNA is filed under the name Ananas comosus (pineapple). RNAcentral describes it as "long non-coding RNA (ACOM_LNC011227)". Lineage: Eukaryota; Viridiplantae; Streptophyta; Magnoliopsida; Poales; Bromeliaceae. The record is from RNAcentral.